RNAcentral lists this ribosomal RNA (372 nucleotides) under uncultured Lactobacillus sp. RNAcentral describes it as "bacterial SSU rRNA". It matches the Rfam family "Bacterial small subunit ribosomal RNA", at positions 181 to 526 of the family's 1533-position model. The record is from RNAcentral. Lineage: Bacteria; Bacillati; Bacillota; Bacilli; Lactobacillales; Lactobacillaceae.
GCAGAUCGCAUGAUCAGCUUUUUAAAAGGCGGCGUAAAGCUGUCGCUAUGGGGAUGGGCCCCGCGGUGCAUUAGCUAGUUGGUAAGGUAAAGGCGUUUACCAAGGGCGAUGAUGCAUAGCCCGAGUUGAGAGACUGAUCGGCCACAUUGGGGACUGAGACACGGGCCCAAACUCCUACGGGAGGCAGCAGUAGGGAAUCUUCCACAAUGGACGCAAGUCUGAUGGAGCAAACGCCGCGUGAGUGAAGAAGGUUUUCGGAUCGUAAAGCUCUGUUGUUGGUGAAGAAGGAUAGAGGUAGUAACUGGCCCUUUAUUUGACGGUAAUCAACCAGAAAGUCACGGGCUAACUACGUGCCAGCAGCCGCGGUAAAAU